Molecule: ribosomal RNA, 451 nt
Filed under: uncultured bacterium
Lineage: Bacteria
Description: bacterial SSU rRNA
Rfam family: Bacterial small subunit ribosomal RNA
Source: RNAcentral
GUGGGGAAUAUUGCGCAAUGGGCGAAAGCCUGACGCAGCGACGCCGCGUGGGUGAUGAAGGCCUUCGGGUCGUAAAGCCCUGUCGGGAGGGAAGAAUGAUUCUGGGCCUAACACGUCCGGAAAUUGACGGUACCUCCUAAGGAAGCACCGGCUAACUCCGUGCCAGCAGCCGCGGUAAUACGGAGGGUGCUAGCGUUGUUCGGAAUCACUGGGCGUAAAGGGCGUGUAGGCGGUCGGCUAAGUCUGAUGUGAAAUCCCCUCGCUCAACGAGGGAACUGCGUCGGAUACUGGUCGACUCGAGUACCGGAGAGGAAGGUGGAAUUCCCGGUGUAGCGGUGAAAUGCGUAGAUAUCGGGAGGAACAUCGGUGGCGAAGGCGGCCUUCUGGACGGAUACUGACGCUGAUACGCGAAAGCGUGGGGAGCAAACAGGAUUAGAUACCCGGGUAGUCC